RNAcentral lists this ribosomal RNA (342 nucleotides) under uncultured Microbispora sp. RNAcentral's name for it is "bacterial SSU rRNA". It matches the Rfam family "Bacterial small subunit ribosomal RNA", at positions 337 to 694 of the family's 1533-position model. Lineage: Bacteria; Bacillati; Actinomycetota; Actinomycetes; Streptosporangiales; Streptosporangiaceae. The record is from RNAcentral.
UCCUACGGGAGGCAGCAGUGGGGAAUAUUGCGCAAUGGGCGGAAGCCUUGACGCAGCGACGCCGCGUGGGGGAUGACGGCCUUCGGGUUGUAAACCUCUUUCGGCAGGGACGAAGUGCACGUGUACCUGUAGAAGAAGCGCCGGUUAACUACGUGCCAGCAGCCGCGGUAAUACGUAGGGCGCAAGCGUUGUCCGGAAUUAUUGGGCGUAAAGAGCUCGUAGGUGGCUUGUCGCGUCUGCCGUGAAAGCCCGUGGCUUGACUACGGGUCUGCGGUGGAUACGGGCAGGCUAGAGGCUGGUAGGGGCAAGUGGAAUUCCUGGUGUAGCGGUGGAAUGCGCAGA